GAUGAACGCUGGCGGCGUGCCUAAUACAUGCAAGUCGAGCGAACAGACGAGGAGCUUGCUCCUCUGACGUUAGCGGCGGACGGGUGAGUAACACGUGGAUAACCUACCUAUAAUACUGGGAUAACUUCGGGAAACCGGAUCUACUACCAGCUCAUAUAUUGAACCGCUUGGUUCAAUAGUGCAAGGCGGCUUUCCCGUCACUUAUAGAUGAAUCCGGGUCGCAUUAGCUAGUUGGUAAGGUAACGGCUUACCAAGGCAACGAUGCGUAGCCGAUCUGAGAGGAUGAUCGGCCACACUGGAACUGAGACACGGUCCAGACUCCUACGGGAGGCAGCAGUAGGGAAUCUUCGGCAAUGGGCGAAAGCCUGACGGAGCAACGCCGCGUGAGUGAUGAAGGUCUUCGGAUCGUAAAGCCCUGUUAUUAGGAAAGAACAAAUGUGGAAGUAACUAUGGACGUCUUGACGGUACCUAAUCAGAAAGCAACGGCUAACUACGUG
This 497-nucleotide ribosomal RNA is filed under the name uncultured bacterium. RNAcentral's name for it is "partial 16S ribosomal RNA". It matches the Rfam family "Bacterial small subunit ribosomal RNA", at positions 28 to 507 of the family's 1533-position model. The record is from RNAcentral.